Long non-coding RNA from Rosa rugosa (rugosa rose), 287 nucleotides. RefSeq lists it as uncharacterized. The record is from RefSeq and is a predicted model, not a curated record. The transcript has 2 exons. NCBI's taxonomy places the organism in Eukaryota, Viridiplantae, Streptophyta, Magnoliopsida, Rosales, Rosaceae.
GCUCAAUGCCUCCAUUUCAGUCCCUACUCAUCUGGUAGCCCUCUCCCAAAAGCUCGCAGCUUUGCAUUUGAAUCUGCAUACAAUCUUGAUUGUACAUUUGGCUGGUGAAGAUUUGAAGACCAUUCUCCGUUCCAGACUGAAAAGUUACCUACUGAUAUAAGAACUCCGUUCCAGACUGAAAAUUUACAUACUGAUAUAAGAACUCUCUGUAAACAAUGAAUUUGUAAAGAACUGAAUCAAUGAAGUGGACAUGCAAAAUGAAUGAAUCAAUUUAUUUGUUUUAGAAA